ACGUUAGCGGCGGACGGGUGAGUAACACGUGGGUAACCUACCUAUAAGACUGGGAUAACUUCGGGAACCCGGAGCUAAUACCGGAUAAUAUUUCGAACCGCAUGGUUCGAUAGUGAAAGAUGGUUUUGCUAUCACUUAUAGAUGGACCCGCGCCGUAUUAGCUAGUUGGUAAGGUAACGGCUUACCAAGGCGACGAUACGUAGCCGACCUGAGAGGGUGAUCGGCCACACUGGAACUGAGACACGGUCCAGACUCCUACGGGAGGCAGCAGCC
This 273-nucleotide ribosomal RNA is filed under the name uncultured Staphylococcus sp. RNAcentral's name for it is "partial 16S ribosomal RNA". It matches the Rfam family "Bacterial small subunit ribosomal RNA", at positions 89 to 355 of the family's 1533-position model. Lineage: Bacteria; Bacillati; Bacillota; Bacilli; Caryophanales; Staphylococcaceae. The record is from RNAcentral.